AUGGCGUCCUCGUCGUCGGACAAGCGGGGCGAGCUGCCGCCAUCGGAAUACAUCGCCGGCGAGCUGCCCCGCGACGCGCUCUAUGACAUCCUGCUGCGUCUCCCGGCGAAGGAUGUAUGCCGCCUCCGCGCCGUCAGUCCCUCGUGGCGCUCUCUCACCUUGGACCCGCUCUUCGUCAAGGCCCAUGCGGCCCGCCACCCGGGCCCGCUCCUCGCCACCACCUUCGCCGACGGCGACUCCUGUGGCGUCAGCAUCGUGGAUCUGCUCUCCGGCGACGUCAUCAAGCGGAUACGCACCUCCGACCCCGACCUGAGAGUGCAGCGCACGCGCCUCGACCGUGUCUGCCUCGUCGGAGGGCGCCACCCUCUGGGCGUGCCUGUCACCCUGCUCGACCCGGCCACAGAUGCUGUCAUCAGCUCGUCGCAUGACAUCUCCAUGAAGUAUGCGGGUUUGCUGAAGUCAAGAAAGGCAUACAUGGACUCAUGCAUUUUUGGGAAAGUCCCCUCCACAGGAGUCUACAAGGCAUUCCGGUUCCUUGAAGUUCGCCCUCUGCCUUGUCGGCAGCAGCUAUGCGAGGUCAUGACUAUCAACGGCCGCAGCGCUGGACGGUGGAGGGCAAGACCAGGACCUCCGGGCCGUGUCUUUCCGAAUCACACGAUGAAAAGCGCAGUCAUCGAUGGGGUCGUGUAUUUUUUGAUGGAUUUUUCGAACAUGCAUCACGAAUAUUCGAAGGGGACCAUCAAACCAGCCAGCAUAGCUGCAUUCAACCUGGAGACAGAAGAAUGGAUGCCGCCGAUUGAUGGUCCGGAACAAGUCAACAGCUUAUUUCUUCCUGUCUUCGAGGACCCCAGAGAUGUGGGGCUUCUCUCGAUAACCAAUUUGAAUGGGUCCUUAGUGGCGGCCCAGGUUCAUCAUCGUUUACCUCAAUCUAUGGACCUAUGGUUUCUGAUGGAUCUUGAGAAAGGUCUCUGGGUUAAAAAGUACAGCAUAGGUUAUUACCGACGUGAGGAUCUUUGUAGUUAUCCUUUGCUGGUGUUAGAUGACGAGAGGAUUGUCUUUGUGAUGCAAUUAACGGGGCUGCUACAGGUUUAUGAUCCAAAAACAGAAACUUACACAGAUUUGUGGCAGCUGGAAGAUUUCAAGUCUAUGUGUAUUUACACAGGAAAUCUGCUGAGUCAAUAG
RNAcentral lists this ribosomal RNA (1182 nucleotides) under Triticum aestivum (bread wheat). RNAcentral's name for it is "partial small subunit ribosomal RNA". The record is from RNAcentral. Lineage: Eukaryota; Viridiplantae; Streptophyta; Magnoliopsida; Poales; Poaceae.